Non-coding RNA from Trichonephila clavata, 73 nucleotides. NCBI's taxonomy places the organism in Eukaryota, Metazoa, Arthropoda, Arachnida, Araneae, Nephilidae. The record is from the annotation of a GenBank genome assembly.
GUUUCUGUAGCGCAAUGGAUAGCGCGGUCGACUUCUAAUCUAUAGGUCGUGAAUUCGAAUUCCACCUGGGAUG